UGGGGAAUAUUGGACAAUGGGCGCAAGCCUGAUCCAGCCAUGCCGCGUGAGUGAUGAAGGCCCUAGGGUUGUAAAGCUCUUUCACCGGUGAAGAUAAUGACGGUAACCGGAGAAGAAGCCCCGGCUAACUUCGUGCCAGCAGCCGCGGUAAUACGAAGGGGGCUAGCGUUGUUCGGAUUUACUGGGCGUAAAGCGCACGUAGGCGGACUUUUAAGUCAGGGGUGAAAUCCCGGGGCUCAACCCCGGAACUGCCUUUGAUACUGGAAGUCUUGAGUAUGGUAGAGGUGGGUGGAAUUCCGAGUGUAGAGGUGAAAUACGUAGAUCUUCGGAGGAACACCAGUGGCGAAGGCGGAUCACUGGGCCAUUACUGACGCUGAGGUGCGAAAGCGUGGGGAGCAAACAGG
This 404-nucleotide ribosomal RNA is filed under the name Actinomycetes bacterium. RNAcentral describes it as "Actinobacteria bacterium partial 16S ribosomal RNA". It matches the Rfam family "Bacterial small subunit ribosomal RNA", at positions 355 to 776 of the family's 1533-position model. The record is from RNAcentral. Lineage: Bacteria; Bacillati; Actinomycetota; Actinomycetes.